Molecule: ribosomal RNA, 253 nt
Filed under: uncultured bacterium
Lineage: Bacteria
Description: partial 16S ribosomal RNA
Rfam family: Bacterial small subunit ribosomal RNA
Source: RNAcentral
UACGGAGGGUGCAAGCGUUAUCCGGAUUUACUGGGUUUAAAGGGCGCGUAGGUGGGUCGGUAAGUCAGUGGUGAAAUCUUCGAGCUUAACUCGGAAACUGCCAUUGAUACUAUCGAUCUUGAAUUAUCUGGAGGUAAGCGGAAUAUGUCAUGUAGCGGUGAAAUGCUUAGAUAUGACAUAGAACACCCAUUGCGAAGGCAGCUUACUACGGAUAUAUUGACACUGAGGCUCGAAAGCGUGGGGAUCAAACAGG